Molecule: long non-coding RNA, 321 nt
Filed under: Eucalyptus grandis
Lineage: Eukaryota; Viridiplantae; Streptophyta; Magnoliopsida; Myrtales; Myrtaceae
Description: long non-coding RNA (EGRA_LNC003624)
Source: RNAcentral
GGUACAUAUAGCUUCGUAGUUGGAAAACAAGUGCAUCCUUAUAACUUGGAAAAGAGGCUCAUUAACUGAAAAAAAGAGUUGGAAACAGGCUGAGACAAGGUCUGAACACAUAGGCAGCAACUGUAGGAGGAUUCCUAAAGCCAAGUCCAGGGGCAAAAAAGCUUUUUAAUAUUGUUGUUGUUGAUGUGUAGCAAUAGAAAAACAGCCUUACAUUUUCUCACUAGCUUUCUAACCCUUGCGAUUCAUGUGCUUGCUUCGUAAUUUUGGUUUUAUUCUUUUGUAAUUCACUUGAAAGUGCGCUAUGUUUAUGUCAUGUGAAAU